RNAcentral lists this ribosomal RNA (319 nucleotides) under uncultured Bacillota bacterium. Its description in RNAcentral is "bacterial SSU rRNA". It matches the Rfam family "Bacterial small subunit ribosomal RNA", at positions 28 to 351 of the family's 1533-position model. The record is from RNAcentral. Lineage: Bacteria; Bacillati; Bacillota.
GACGAACGCUGGCGGCGUGCCUAAUACAUGCAAGUCGAGCGGUUCCUUCGGGGAUAGCGGCGGACGGGUGAGUAACACGUAGGCAACCUGCCUGCAAGAUUGGGAUAACUAUCGGAAACGAUAGCUAAGACCGGAUAGCUGGUUUCUCUGCAUGGAGAGAUCAUGAAACACGGGGCAACCUGUGGCUUGCAGAUGGGCCUGCGGCGCAUUAGCUAGUUGGUGAGGUAACGGCUCACCAAGGCGACGAUGCGUAGCCGACCUGAGAGGGUGAACGGCCACACUGGGACUGAGACACGGCCCAGACUCCUACGGGUGGCUG